GUUUAUUCAUUUAUUUAUUUAUACCAGUAAUUUACUAUACUUCUGCUUAUAUUACUCUUAUUGCAGUUGUUUUUUUUGCUUUAUUAUUGUAUUUUAAAUUACUGUCUCUUGUGGAAUGUGUUGUUUCUGGAAACUUAGAUAUCAAUUGAGGCAAUUGAUGUUGACCUAGUAGGGUAAUGUAGUUGAACUACUUCUAUUUUAUAAUUUGAAUGACGGUGGUGUGUGGGCCAGUUUAAGCCAUUUCGAGUAUUCCGUUGGAUACCUGCUAUCUCCUACCAACAUAGGUACCGGAUAGCUGUGCCCAUUAUGGCUUACGCAGAUGGAAGAAAUCACCUAGUAUUUUUUUGCAUCUGUCAGGAUUUGAACCUGAGUUCUCAUCCAACUUCGUUGACCUCUAGGCCGCACCCCUUGGAUGUUGAAGUACUCCCAUAUUCAUCUGUUGUGAGUGGAAAUUGAGAAUGUUUGAAUUCUUUCGUCACGUUGUGCACAGAGCUUACUUGCUUGGUUGAGGGAGAGCCCAAAGAACAUUGUCAAUUGCUUAAAGGGGGAGUCUUUGCUUGAGUUUAAGUGCGCAUUCAGGAAGCUUUUAAUUUUGAAGUAUCCUAGGACAUGGAUGUAUGGAGAAAAAGCAAAGGUUUUACUAGUGCAGGACGUAUUUGAUGCAUUUUUAUGAUUGGCUUAUUAGUGCAUGCCGAUCAGGCGAUCCUUGUCAUGGUUUAAUGUAUAAAUAAAGUUUUGAAUUUGGUGUUUGAAUGAAAGCUAUAUCAAACUCAUCUCA
Nicotiana attenuata is the source of this 778-nucleotide long non-coding RNA. RefSeq lists it as uncharacterized. The record is from RefSeq and is a predicted model, not a curated record. The transcript is spliced from 2 exons. NCBI's taxonomy places the organism in Eukaryota, Viridiplantae, Streptophyta, Magnoliopsida, Solanales, Solanaceae.